RNAcentral lists this ribosomal RNA (118 nucleotides) under Lepisosteus oculatus (spotted gar). Lineage: Eukaryota; Metazoa; Chordata; Actinopteri; Semionotiformes; Lepisosteidae. The record is from RNAcentral.
GCCAGCAGCCAUAUCACCCUGCAGCUCCCAGCUGGCAGCCCCACUGGAGCUCAGCAGGUGGGAGCCUGGUCAGUACCUGGAUGGGAGACUCCUGGGAAAGCUCAGGUUGCUGCUGGAA